Molecule: ribosomal RNA, 580 nt
Filed under: Vishniacozyma carnescens
Lineage: Eukaryota; Fungi; Basidiomycota; Tremellomycetes; Tremellales; Bulleribasidiaceae
Description: partial large subunit ribosomal RNA
Rfam family: Eukaryotic large subunit ribosomal RNA
Source: RNAcentral
AAACUAACUAGGAUUCCCUUAGUAACGGCGAGUGAACCGGGAUGAGCUCAAAUUUGAAAUCUGGCGUCUUUCAGGCGUCCGAGUUGUAAUCUAUAGAGGCGUUUUCCGCGCCGGACCGCGUCCAAGUCUCUUGGAAUAGAGUAUCAAAGAGGGUGACAAUCCCGUACUUGACGCGACAACCGGUGCUCUGUGAUACGUUCUCAAUGAGUCGAGUUGUUUGGGAAUGCAGCUCUAAAUGGGUGGUAAAUUCCAUCUAAGGCUAAAUAUUGGCGAGAGACCGAUAGCGAACAAGUACCGUGAGGGAAAGAUGAAAAGCACUUUGGAAAGAGAGUUAAACAGCACGUGAAAUUGUUAAAAGGGAAACGAUUGAAGUCAGUCGUGUGGGAAGUAUUCAGCCGUCUCUGGCGGUGUAUUUGCUUCUCACGGGUCAACAUCAGUUUGAUCCGGUAGAAAAAGGCGGGAAGAAGGUGGCACCCUCGGGUGUGUUAUAGCUUCCUGUCAUAUGUGCCGGACCAGACUGAGGAACGCAGCUUGCAGCAAUGCCGGGGUUCGCCCACGUACAAGCUUAGGAUGUUGACAU